GUGGUGACCUGCGGAGGGAUCAUUA
This 25-nucleotide ribosomal RNA is filed under the name uncultured Pezizomycotina. RNAcentral describes it as "partial 18S ribosomal RNA". Lineage: Eukaryota; Fungi; Ascomycota. The record is from RNAcentral. RNAcentral also lists the same sequence under 1 other name.